RNAcentral lists this ribosomal RNA (591 nucleotides) under uncultured bacterium. RNAcentral's name for it is "bacterial SSU rRNA". It matches the Rfam family "Bacterial small subunit ribosomal RNA", at positions 917 to 1519 of the family's 1533-position model. The record is from RNAcentral.
GGGCCCGCACAAGCGGAGGAACAUGUGGUUUAAUUCGAUGAUACGCGAGGAACCUUACCCGGGCUUGAAUUGCACUCGAAUAUGGUUGAAAGAUCAUAGCCGCAAGGCGAGUGUGAAGGUGCUGCAUGGUUGUCGUCAGCUCGUGCCGUGAGGUGUCGGCUUAAGUGCCAUAACGAGCGCAACCCUUAUUUCCAGUUACCAUCGGGUGAUGCCGGGGACUCUGGAAAGACUGCCGUCGUAAGAUGUGAGGAAGGUGGGGAUGACGUCAAAUCAGCACGGCCCUUACGUCCGGGGCUACACACGUGUUACAAUGGGUGGUACAGAAGGCAGCUACACGGCAACGUGAUGCUAAUCCCAAAAACCACUCUCAGUUCGGAUUGGAGUCUGCAACCCGACUCCAUGAAGCUGGAUUCGCUAGUAAUCGCGCAUCAGCCACGGCGCGGUGAAUACGUUCCCGGGCCUUGUACACACCGCCCGUCAAGCCAUGAAAGCCGGGGGUACCUGAAGUGCGUAACCGUAAGGAGCGCCCUAGGGUAAAACUGGUAAUUGGGGCUAAGUCGUAACAAGGUAGCCGUACCGGAAGGUGCGGCU